GAUGAACGCUGGCGGCGUGCCUAAUACAUGCAAGUCGAGCGAACAGAUGAGGAGCUUGCUCCUCUGACGUUAGCGGCGGACGGGUGAGUAACACGUGGAUAACCUACCUAUAAGACUGGGAUAACUUCGGGAAACCGGAGCUAAUACCGGAUAAUAUAUUGAACCGCAUGGUUCAAUAGUGAAAGACGGUUUUGCUGUCACUUAUAGAUGGAUCCGCGCCGCAUUAGCUAGUUGGUAAGGUAACGGCUUACCAAGGCAACGAUGCGUAGCCGACCUGAGAGGGUGAAGGGACAAACGGAAACUGAGAAAAGGCCAAGACUCCACGGGGAGGAAGAAGGGGGAAUUCUCCCGAAAGGGGAAAAGGAGAGAGGGAGAAACGCGGGGGGAGGAAUAAAGGUUUUGGGAUAUAAAAAUUUUGUGAUUAGGAAAAAAAAAUUGUGAAAGUAACAAGGCACGUCUGGAGGGAACAAAACAAAAAAGACAGGGAAAAAACGGGG
RNAcentral lists this ribosomal RNA (497 nucleotides) under uncultured bacterium. RNAcentral's name for it is "partial 16S ribosomal RNA". The stretch from base 15 to 380 matches the Rfam family "Bacterial small subunit ribosomal RNA", at positions 42 to 397 of the family's 1533-position model. The record is from RNAcentral.